Molecule: ribosomal RNA, 481 nt
Filed under: uncultured bacterium
Lineage: Bacteria
Description: bacterial SSU rRNA
Rfam family: Bacterial small subunit ribosomal RNA
Source: RNAcentral
AUGAACGUUGGCGGCGUGGAUUAGGCAUGCAAGUCGAGCGAGAACCCGCAAGGGGGACAGCGGCAAACGGGGUAGGAAUGAUUGGUGACGUACCCUCGGGACGGGGAUAGCCACGGGAAACUGUGGGUAAUACCCGAUAAUCUCCCAGGUUUGAAGACCUGGGUGCAAAGGUGUGAUUCCACCGGAGGAGCGGCCAAUCUGGUAUUAGCUAGUUGGUAGGGUAACGGCCUACCAAGGCUACGAUGCCUAGGGGGUGUGAGAGCAUGGCCCCCACCACUGGGACUGAGAUACUGCCCAGACACCUACGGGUGGCUGCAGUCGAGAAUCUUCGGCAAUGGGCGAAAGCCUGACCGAGCGACGCCGCGUGCGGGAUGAAGGCCUUCGGGUUGUAAACCGCUGUCAGAGGGGAUGAAGUAUCGGGUGGUAAUUCAUAAUCCAUUCGAUUUGACAGAGCCUCAGAGGAAGCACGGGCUAAGUAUGU